RNAcentral lists this ribosomal RNA (400 nucleotides) under phytoplankton environmental sample. RNAcentral's name for it is "partial small subunit ribosomal RNA". It matches the Rfam family "Eukaryotic small subunit ribosomal RNA", at positions 587 to 984 of the family's 1831-position model. The record is from RNAcentral.
AGCUCUGAUAGUGUAUACUAACGUUGUUGCAGUUAAAAGGCUCGUAGUCGAACAUAUGAUCUAGUGAGCAAAUCUCUCUGCCAAAGUGCAGUGAUGGUUACAGCGCACAGAUCAUCCUUCUGGAAGAAACAUCUACACUUGAUUGUGUCGGAUGUGGAAUCCAGAUCAUUUACUGUGAGUAAAUCAAAGUGUUUAAAGCAGGCUACACGCCUGAAUGUUCUAGCAUGGAAUAAUAAGAUAGGACUUUAGUUCUAUUUUGUUGGCUUCUAGAACUAAAGUAAUGAUUGAUAGGGACAGUUGGGGGUGCUAGUAUUUAACGGUCAGCGGUGAAAUGCGUGGACCCGUUAAAGACUAACUUAUGCGAAAGCAUUCACCAAGGAUGUCUUCUUUGAUCAAGAAC